Haliotis rubra (blacklip abalone) is the source of this 122-nucleotide long non-coding RNA. RefSeq lists it as uncharacterized. The record is from RefSeq and is a predicted model, not a curated record. The transcript has 3 exons. Lineage: Eukaryota; Metazoa; Mollusca; Gastropoda; Lepetellida; Haliotidae.
CUAUUCUUACUUUGCUAAGGAUCAAAUCAUUGAUUCAACGGAACACUGUGAUGUGGGGUCAGGUUUGGUUUAAAUAUCUAAGCUUAUUAACUUAUUGUAACCAUGGAACCUAGGUUUCUGUA